RNAcentral lists this RNase P RNA (434 nucleotides) under Chitinophagaceae bacterium. RNAcentral's name for it is "RNase P RNA component class A". It matches the Rfam family "Bacterial RNase P class A". From Rfam's summary of the family: Ribonuclease P (RNase P) is a ubiquitous endoribonuclease, found in archaea, bacteria and eukarya as well as chloroplasts and mitochondria. Its best characterised activity is the generation of mature 5'-ends of tRNAs by cleaving the 5'-leader elements of precursor-tRNAs. Lineage: Bacteria; Pseudomonadati; Bacteroidota; Chitinophagia; Chitinophagales; Chitinophagaceae. RNAcentral also lists the same sequence under 1 other name. The record is from RNAcentral.
GCUAUCAGCCGGGUUAUCGUUCUCUAAUUUAUUAGGGGAAGGAAAGUCCGGACAGCACAGAGCAACACACCGGUUAACAACCGGCUUCGGAAUGUUUAGUGGAGACACUAACCAUGGCGAAAGAGACAGGGCCACAGAAAAUUACCGCUCCUCUCUUGACAUACUUCGACAAGCUCAGUAUGACAAGAGAGGAGUAAGGGUGAAAACGUGAGGUAAGAGCUCACGGGUUUUUGCAGUAAUGCAUCAAUCGGGUAAACCUUGUGUGCUGUAAUGCCACGUAAACCGGCGUUUGAGGGCGGCUCGUCCGAUGCCGAAGGGUAGGCAGCAAGAUUGUAACAGUAAUGUUGCAGCCAGAUAAAUGAUAACCGGGUGUUUGACCUUUAGCUUGGUUACACAAACACUUACAGAAUCCGGCUUACAGGCUGAUAGAUUUU